RNAcentral lists this transfer RNA (40 nucleotides) under Cyrtodactylus irregularis. RNAcentral describes it as "tRNA-Ala". The record is from RNAcentral. Lineage: Eukaryota; Metazoa; Chordata; Lepidosauria; Squamata; Gekkonidae.
UGAGUUGCAAUCAGAAGAUGUAUUAUUAUACAGGGCCUUC